Molecule: ribosomal RNA, 410 nt
Filed under: uncultured microorganism
Description: bacterial SSU rRNA
Rfam family: Bacterial small subunit ribosomal RNA
Source: RNAcentral
CAGCCGCCGCGGUAAUACGUAGGGUGCGAGCGUUAAUCGGAUUUACUGGGCGUAAAGCGUGCGCAGGCGGCCCGUUAAGACAGGUGUGAAAUCCCUGGGCUCAACCUAGGAAUUGCGCUUGUGACUGGCGGGCUCGAGUACGGUAGAGGGGGGUGGAAUUCCUGGUGUAGCAGUGAAAUGCGUAGAGAUCAGGAGGAACACCGAUGGCGAAGGCAGCCCCCUGGGCCUGUACUGACGCUCAUGCACGAAAGCGUGGGGAGCAAACAGGAUUAGAUACCCUGGUAGUCCACGCCCUAAACGAUGGGUACUAGCCGGUUGGUGCGCGAUAGCGCUGAGUGGCGAAGCUAACGCGUGAAGUACCCCGCCUGGGGAGUACGGCCGCAAGGUUGAAACUUAAAGGAAUUGGCGGG